This 365-nucleotide transfer-messenger RNA is filed under the name Desulfocapsaceae. RNAcentral's name for it is "Desulforhopalus sp000961725 Standard tmRNA". It matches the Rfam family "transfer-messenger RNA". Rfam says of the family: Bacterial tmRNA, also known as 10Sa RNA or SsrA, is named for its dual tRNA and mRNA-like properties. Its role is to liberate the mRNA from a stalled ribosome. To accomplish this part of the tmRNA is used as a reading frame that ends in a translation stop signal. Lineage: Bacteria; Pseudomonadati; Thermodesulfobacteriota; Desulfobulbia; Desulfobulbales. The record is from RNAcentral.
GGGGGCGAAACGGAUUCGACGGGGAUGUGUAAGCUUACUGUUGCAUGCCGAGCUUCUACUUGCUCGUAAAACAGUAGAACCUAAAUAUAAUCGCAGACGAUUAUAACUACGCAGUAGCAGCUUAAUACCUGUCAUACUGCCGUUCCACCGGUCUUCGCCCAUAAGGCCGGAGUUGGGGCGUCGACUCAAUGGGCUGGUUGUCUGAAGGCCGACUGUCCUUCAGCUGACGAGAUUCAACAGUAUAGUUCCGGGAAAUCUAUGUUCCGACUGAGUUCCCGGCGCGAAAACUAAAGCACGGAACUAAGCAUGUAGAUACGGGAGGGGAGCAUUUUCGGACGCGGGUUCGACUCCCGCCGCCUCCACCA